Molecule: ribosomal RNA, 313 nt
Filed under: Pharaxonotha floridana
Lineage: Eukaryota; Metazoa; Arthropoda; Insecta; Coleoptera; Erotylidae
Description: partial 16S large subunit ribosomal RNA
Rfam family: Bacterial large subunit ribosomal RNA (bases 178-313)
Source: RNAcentral
GACCCUAUAGAGUUUAAUAUUUUAUUGAUAAAUUAUUUUUUAGAAUUUAAUAUUAAUUUAUUAAUUGAAUAUUUGAUUGGGGUGAUUGAAAAAUUUAAAUAACUUUUUUUAUAUUUAAACAUUAAUUUAUGAUUAUUUGAUCCAUUAUUUAUGAUUAUAAGAUUAAAUUACCUUAGGGAUAACAGCGUAAUUUUUUUUAAGAGUUCAAAUCGAAAAAAAAGAUUGCGACCUCGAUGUUGGAUUAAAAUUUAUUUUUGGUGUAGAAGCUAAAUUUAUUGGGUCUGUUCGACCUUUAAAAUUUUACAUGAUCUGA